RNAcentral lists this ribosomal RNA (1327 nucleotides) under Escherichia coli. Its description in RNAcentral is "partial 23S ribosomal RNA". It matches the Rfam family "Bacterial large subunit ribosomal RNA", at positions 1 to 1362 of the family's 2925-position model. Lineage: Bacteria; Pseudomonadati; Pseudomonadota; Gammaproteobacteria; Enterobacterales; Enterobacteriaceae. The record is from RNAcentral.
UUGUGAGGUUAAGCGACUAAGCGUACACGGUGGAUGCCCUGGCAGUCAGAGGCGAUGAAGGACGUGCUAAUCUGCGAUAAGCGUCGGUGAGGUGAUAUGAACCGUUAUAACCGGCGAUUUCCGAAUGGGGAAACCCAGUGUGUUUCGACACACUAUCAUUAACUGAAUCCAUAGGUUAAUGAGGCGAACCGGGGGAACUGAAACAUCUAAGUACCCCGAGGAAAAGAAAUCAACCGAGAUUCCCCCAGUAGCGGCGAGCGAACGGGGAGGAGCCCAGAGCCUGAAUCAGUGUGUGUGUUAGUGGAAGCGUCUGGAAAGGCGCGCGAUACAGGGUGACAGCCCCGUACACAAAAAUGCACAUAUUGUGAGCUCGAUGAGUAGGGCGGGACACGUGGUAUCCUGUCUGAAUAUGGGGGGACCAUCCUCCAAGGCUAAAUACUCCUGACUGACCGAUAGUGAACCAGUACCGUGAGGGAAAGGCGAAAAGAACCCCGGCGAGGGGAGUGAAAAAGAACCUGAAACCGUGUACGUACAAGCAGUGGGAGCCUCUUAAUGGGGUGACUGCGUACCUUUUGUAUAAUGGGUCAGCGACUUAUAUUCUGUAGCAAGGUUAACCGAAUAGGGGAGCCGAAGGGAAACCGAGUCUUAACUGGGCGUUAAGUUGCAGGGUAUAGACCCGAAACCCGGUGAUCUAGCCAUGGGCAGGUUGAAGGUUGGGUAACACUAACUGGAGGACCGAACCGACUAAUGUUGAAAAAUUAGCGGAUGACUUGUGGCUGGGGGUGAAAGGCCAAUCAAACCGGGAGAUAGCUGGUUCUCCCCGAAAGCUAUUUAGGUAGCGCCUCGUGAAUUCAUCUCCGGGGGUAGAGCACUGUUUCGGCAAGGGGGUCAUCCCGACUUACCAACCCGAUGCAAACUGCGAAUACCGGAGAAUGUUAUCACGGGAGACACACGGCGGGUGCUAACGUCCGUCGUGAAGAGGGAAACAACCCAGACCGCCAGCUAAGGUCCCAAAGUCAUGGUUAAGUGGGAAACGAUGUGGGAAGGCCCAGACAGCCAGGAUGUUGGCUUAGAAGCAGCCAUCAUUUAAAGAAAGCGUAAUAGCUCACUGGUCGAGUCGGCCUGCGCGGAAGAUGUAACGGGGCUAAACCAUGCACCGAAGCUGCGGCAGCGACGCUUAUGCGUUGUUGGGUAGGGGAGCGUUCUGUAAGCCUGUGAAGGUGUGCUGUGAGGCAUGCUGGAGGUAUCAGAAGUGCGAAUGCUGACAUAAGUAACGAUAAAGCGGGUGAAAAGCCCGCUCGCCGGAAGACCAAGGGUUCCUGUCCAA